AAGAAAGUCAGUGGAGGCUGCCGGAGGUCUCAGGCUGGUGUUUUUAUGAGGCUGAUUCACAGGUCUGGACAGGGCUGAUUGUUAGAGGAUGUUUCCUUUGAAAAAUAUCCCGGAGGGUAGGUAGAGUGGCCCCCCGGGCAUCACAACCUCGGAGGAAGCAGGGUCAGAGAGGAGAGGUCGCACCCCUGCAUGGAGAGGGCCCAGACUCACCACUCAGGCUGCUUUUCAGGAGAAGGAAAAGCUGGUAACUUUGGCCACACGCUGUGCCAGACGCCGGGGCCGGGGAAUUCAAACACGACGUCGACUUGACAGCGCAGUGCCGAGCCCAGCGACCAGCGUGUAGCUGGAUGACCAAAAAUCCUCUCUCCCUAACUCUUUGGUGUCUGACAUUCUUUGCGACCGUCCUGCAAGGGCUGAGACUAUGACGUCAUAGUAUCAUAUAUAGAUGAGGUGACUGAGGCUGGAGAGGGACUUCUCCAAGGUCACACAAGGUAAGGGGUAGGGACCGAUUCUUAAUCCAGGUUUACCUGCUUUUUCUCGGGCAUGCUGCCUCUUGGAAAGCAGGUGCUUCCAGAACAUUAAAAAUUAGCUCCUAGGAUAGGGAUUGGGUCAUGGGGUUGAUGCCUGGCGCCUAAGAAAUGUUCAUUAUCUCUGACAGCAAGAAGGCAGCAGGAUCACUGGCGGGAUUGGCGGGAAGGGAGCUUCCUAUAAAACCAGCAGGGCAUUCACGGAAAUUCCGAGAGGCUCCUGGUUGUUAAACACCCCCCCCCGCACCCCCACCCCUUGCUCAUUCGUCAGGGCUGUGUUUCUGGGCCGCCAUGUGCCGAAGAGCUCCGGGAAUUCGACGGACCUCUGUUUCACGUGGGGUGUGACAACGGGUCGUAAAACGGACGAACUGCCGUGGCACACCUAGGUUCUGUGCCUCGGAGUUUCGGAGAGAAGCGGCCCAGGAAUGCCCACCAGGAGCCCAACUUUCCUGAGAGACAGGCUCCUUACGACAGGGGACUAGUGCCGCUGCUCCCAGGCUGGCAGUGGGCGUUGGGCCGGGGAGCGUGGGCCGGGCCGCGGCAGAGCCUCUCCACGAAGAGGGAUGUUCUUUCCCUGCGAGAGGCUGCUUCCUCUUGGGGAUCUUUCCCCAGCGACUGCUCCCCACCACCUGGUCUGCGGCUGGGAGGGAGACAGCUCUGCUGUCUUGAAUGCUGUGACCCGGGAACAGACACAGCCGUGUUCCUGAGGCCAGGUGAACGGCUGGGCCAGGAGGAGGGGGCUUUACUGCAGGUGCAGAGGUGGUGGCGGUCACACACCUUCGGCUCCUGGUCUGCUGCUCCAGCUGCCUCUCCGCCUAGCCGCGGACCUGCCCCCAUCUUUCUCCUACUGUGCAGAUACGCCUUGAAGCAAGGCAGCCGGCAGGGACACC
Molecule: long non-coding RNA, 1417 nt
Filed under: Mustela putorius furo (domestic ferret)
Lineage: Eukaryota; Metazoa; Chordata; Mammalia; Carnivora; Mustelidae
Description: lncRNA (ENSMPUG00000030983.1)
Source: RNAcentral